Oncorhynchus gorbuscha (pink salmon) is the source of this 435-nucleotide long non-coding RNA. RefSeq lists it as uncharacterized. The transcript has 3 exons. The record is from RefSeq and is a predicted model, not a curated record. NCBI's taxonomy places the organism in Eukaryota, Metazoa, Chordata, Actinopteri, Salmoniformes, Salmonidae.
CAUGGCGCCGUGUCCCUGCUCCCUCAGUUACAGAAAGUGGCCGCCUCUCUGCUGCUGUCGACCCAAAGCUCACAGACUCACUCGUUGCCUAGACCCGCCAUCUUGGAGUCAGAGAACUGAGAGUCGGCAGCAAGCUACGAGAGAGCGCAAAAGGGGGACACGGGGCCAAGGCCUUUCACAUCUUCUGAACUGACAGUUGUGAUUGGAGAUAAUGAGGAUAUCCAUAUCCCACAUUAGAAAGUGAGUAUCCCUACCUAGUAGGGCCUACAGGUCUCAGUCCUCCAUGGCGUCUGGGGCUGGGCAGGCAGAGGCCGGCGAUGGGGCAGCAUGGUCGUCAUCAGGCCUGGCCAAGCCUCUUCACCUUCAGCACCUGGAGAGAUCCCUACGCCUUGACAGCUUCCUCCGCCAGACCGCCUCAGUCUUCAACAGAGACCU